This 596-nucleotide ribosomal RNA is filed under the name Pseudoliva ancilla. RNAcentral's name for it is "Sylvanocochlis ancilla partial 12S ribosomal RNA". The stretch from base 176 to 592 matches the Rfam family "Microsporidia small subunit ribosomal RNA", at positions 751 to 1303 of the family's 1311-position model. The record is from RNAcentral. Lineage: Eukaryota; Metazoa; Mollusca; Gastropoda; Neogastropoda; Pseudolividae.
AAAGAUAGUUAAACAUAUAUAUAUAUAUAAGUUUAUUAAAUAUUUAUAUAGAGGUAGAAUUCGAAUACAAAUAUUUAAUUUUUUAGUAACUAGAUUAGUUGAAUCUAUGACAACUUUGAGGGAAACUGGGAUUAGAUACCCCACUAUUCUUAAUUUUAAAUUAAGUAUAUUUACCGGAGUACUAUGAAUUCAAGAAUUUAAAACUCAAAGGGCUUGGCGGUGUUUUAGACCUUUUAGGGGAACCUGUCCCAUAAUCGACAAUCCACGUCAGACCUAGCCCCCCUUAGUAACACAGUUUGUAUACCGUCGUCGUCAGGUAACUUUCAAGAAAGUAAUAGUUAGCAAUAAAAAUUAUGCUAAAUUAGGACGUCAGAUCAGGGUGCAGCCUAUAAGGAGGUGAGGAUGGGUUACAAUUAUAAAUUUAUAAAAACGGAUAAUAAAAUGAAAUUUUGUGAGUGAAGGAGGACUUAAAAGUAAAAUGAAUUAUAUAAAUAAUUUGAAUAUGGCUCUGGAGCGUGUACAAACCGCCCGUCGCUCUCCANGAAAAAUGAGAUAAGUCGUAACAUAGCAGGGGUAAUGGAAAUUGCCCCUAGAUG